Molecule: ribosomal RNA, 496 nt
Filed under: uncultured bacterium
Lineage: Bacteria
Description: bacterial SSU rRNA
Rfam family: Bacterial small subunit ribosomal RNA
Source: RNAcentral
AACCAGCCAUGCCGCGUGCAGGAUGACGGCUCUACGAGUUGUAAACUGCUUUUGUACGAGGGUAAACGCAGAUACGUGUAUCUGUCUGAAAGUAUCGUACGAAUAAGGAUCGGCUAACUCCGUGCCAGCAGCCGCGGUAAUACGGAGGAUUCAAGCGUUAUCCGGAUUUAUUGGGUUUAAAGGGUGCGUAGGCGGUUUGAUAAGUUAGAGGUGAAAUUUCGGGGCUCAACCCUGAACGUGCCUCUAAUACUGUUGAGCUAGAGAGUAGUUGCGGUAGGCGGAAUGUAUGGUGUAGCGGUGAAAUGCUUAGAGAUCAUACAGAACACCGAUUGCGAAGGCAGCUUACCAAACUAUAUCUGACGUUGAGGCACGAAAGCGUGGGGAGCAAACAGGAUUAGAUACCCUGGUAGUCCACGCAGUAAACGAUGAUAACUCGUUGUCGGCGAUACACAGUCGGUGACUAAGCGAAAGCGAUAAGUUAUCCACCUGGGGAGUA